AUUGAACGCUGGCGGCAGGCCUAACACAUGCCAGUCGAGCGGAUGAAGGGAGCUUGCUCCUGGAUUCAGCGGCGGACGGGUGAGUAAUGCCUAGGAAUCUGCCUGGUAGUGGGGGAUAACGUCCGGAAACGGGCGCUAAUACCGCAUACGUCCUGAGGGGAAAGUGGGGGACCUUCGGACCUCACGCUAUCAGAUGAGCCUAGGUCGGAUUAGCUAGUUGGUGGGGUAAAGGCCUACCAAGGCGACGAUCCGUAACUGGUCUGAGAGGAUGAUCAGUCACACUGGAACUGAGACACGGUCCAGACUCCUACGGGAGGCAGCAGUGGGGAAUAUUGGACAAUGGGCGAAAGCCUGAUCCAGCCAUGCCGCGUGUGUGAAGAAGGUCUUCGGAUUGUAAAGCACUUUAAGUUGGGAGGAAGGGCAGUAAGUUAAUACCUUGCUGUUUUGACGUUACCAACAGAAUAAGCACCGGCUAACUUCGUG
Molecule: ribosomal RNA, 483 nt
Filed under: uncultured bacterium
Lineage: Bacteria
Description: partial 16S ribosomal RNA
Rfam family: Bacterial small subunit ribosomal RNA
Source: RNAcentral